Molecule: non-coding RNA, 168 nt
Filed under: uncultured Lawsonibacter sp.
Lineage: Bacteria; Bacillati; Bacillota; Clostridia; Eubacteriales; Oscillospiraceae
Description: glmS glucosamine-6-phosphate activated ribozyme
Rfam family: glmS glucosamine-6-phosphate activated ribozyme aptamer
About the family: This entry contains a glucosamine-6-phosphate activated ribozyme that is found in the mRNA for GlmS. GlmS is an enzyme that uses fructose-6-phosphate and glutamine to generate glucosamine-6-phosphate.
Source: RNAcentral
UCAAAAGCGCCAGUCCCAGCCGAUGUAAGUCAGUUGGGAGACGAGGAGAAGGGAGUAUCGAAAGGACUUUCAAGUCCCAAAACUUCGGCGGAUGCCCUUCCGUAUGUCUCCAUAUGCGUCACACAGUCAGAAAACAUGCAGGUAACUGCAAAACAGAGGGGCUGUGAU